UGAGGAAUAUUGGUCAAUGGGCGAGAGCCUGAACCAGCCAAGUAGCGUGCAGGAUGACGGCCCUAUGGGUUGUAAACUGCUUUUAUAUGGGAAUAAAGUGAGGGACGUGUCCCUUAUUGCAUGUACCAUACGAAUAAGGACCGGCUAAUUCCGUGCCAGCAGCCGCGGUAAUACGGAAGGUCCAGGCGUUAUCCGGAUUUAUUGGGUUUAAAGGGAGCGUAGGCUGUUUGUUAAGCGUGUUGUGUAAUGUAAGAGCUCAACUUUUAGAUUGCAGCGCGAACUGGCAGACUUGAGUGCGCACAACGUAGGCGGAAUUCAUGGUGUAGCGGUGAAAUGCUUAGAUAUCAUGACGAACUCCGAUUGCGAAGGCAGCUUACGGGAGCGCAACUGACGCUAAAGCUCGAAGGUGCGGGUAUCGAACAGG
This 424-nucleotide ribosomal RNA is filed under the name Verrucomicrobiota bacterium. RNAcentral describes it as "Verrucomicrobia bacterium partial 16S ribosomal RNA". It matches the Rfam family "Bacterial small subunit ribosomal RNA", at positions 355 to 776 of the family's 1533-position model. Lineage: Bacteria; Pseudomonadati; Verrucomicrobiota. The record is from RNAcentral.